UAACCUACCUAUAAGACGUGGGAAUUAACGUUACGGGAAACCGGAGCUAAUACCGGAUAAUAUUUCGAACCGCAUGGUUCGAUAGUGAAAGGUGGUUUUGCUAUCACUUAUAGAUGGACCCGCGCCGUAUUAGCUAGUUGGUAAGGUAACGGCUUACCAAGGCGACGAUACGUAGCCGACCUGAGAGGGUGAUCGGCCACACUGGAACUGAGACACGGUCCAGACUCCUACGGGAGGCAGCAGUA
RNAcentral lists this ribosomal RNA (245 nucleotides) under uncultured Staphylococcus sp. RNAcentral's name for it is "partial 16S ribosomal RNA". It matches the Rfam family "Bacterial small subunit ribosomal RNA", at positions 122 to 355 of the family's 1533-position model. The record is from RNAcentral. Lineage: Bacteria; Bacillati; Bacillota; Bacilli; Caryophanales; Staphylococcaceae.